AGCAUGUUUUAAUAAAUACAUUUGGAAAAGAAGACCAAGAAAAGUAAAAGAUGAUUCAGUGUCCAAACAGCACAGUGAAAGCACAUCAACACUUCCUUCCAAAGAGAAAUUGAAUAAACAGCAGAAACCAGAAGAAAAGCUUGACUCAGACAUGGACACUACCACUCUACUUGAGGAUACCAGAAAGGAUCAGCAAGUUUAUGGAGGAGAAAAUGUGAAACAUGAAGAUGACUUACUGAGUCAAGCAACACCCAUCAACCGGCGAGUAGAAGUUAUCAGAACAAGCAACACAGGCACUUUAAAUCAUGUCACAAUGAGAAAAGUCCCCUCCUCCGCUUCUCUAAAAGAGGAAAACAUUCAUUAAUAAUGAAUCAGGACUCCUGGUGUCAACACCAUAAACCCCUUUAAUGCACACCUUACAGUAAUUGUAACCAGGCCUAACCAUGUGUCAUUAUUGAACAUUUACAGAUGAUUAUUGAUUAUGGGAGCAGUAAAGAUGAUGACAUUACUGUACAUGGUGUCCCAUACAUUUCCAUACAUAGGAAAAUACCAUGUACUGGUAUUACAGUUACGUAGUAUUCCAGUCCUGGAGCAAAAAAAAGUUCACUUUUAUUGAUUUCCGGCCAUAUGAAGAUGAAGUUUGUCAAUAUCUGUGUUGUGUGACAAAUGUUUUGCACUUUUCCUUUAGCCAGGUUAUUGUCUAGUUUGCCACUGUUGUGUUAAAACAGUCAUUGUAUAUAUAAGUUAUAGUGUAUAUUUUAGUCUUUACUUGAUAUUAUUAUAAUAUUACUUAACUUCCUUUAUUUUCAUGUGUGUCCAGUCAGCGUCCUCCCGCUCGUUUUGUAUAUCAUGCCGCAACUUUGCAAGUAUGUAUGUAUGUAUGUAUGUAUGUAUGUAUGUAUGUAUGUAUGUAUGUAUGUAUGUAUGUAUGUAUGUAGUGUUGAUGCAGCGUGUAUUGCAGCUUGCUACAAUUCUGUGUAUAUAGCUUCCCCUGUAGCUUAGCUAAAUUAAAUGGAGAGAAACUAGUAGCUUAGCUUACGACAGUAAAAAUAUUUUUCCAAAUAAUUGGUCUUUAUAGACAAAAUUGUAAUAAUUUGACAAUGAUAAUUUUGAAUAGUUGAAAAGUUUACAUUGACUGUUACUCUGUAGUGAAUUACAAUUGGCUUACACGGCUUUUAAACGUGAGUGUGAAUUUCUUUUUUCAUUUAUUUUAUAAAGCAGAAGUUGCUUUGUUGGUUACGCCAAAUAAAUCUGACAAGAUUAAUUGCUGUCUGCCUUUAAUCGCCGAAUUGUGAUUAGCUAAUAGCAUGUGUGAUUUCCCUGCACUGAGCAACGUUUGGAGGUCUUUUUUGCACAUUCCCACAUCCUAAAACACAUUAUAAACACCAUUUCUAUCAAAAACUAAAUUAAGAAAAAUUGCGAUAUGAUGUUUUUGUUUUAUUUAUUUUAUUUGAUUUUGUUAUCCCUUGCACGUGUUCAUGCUCUUUUUGUGUAUUAUUUCGUUAUAGUCGAGUUAUUUCAAUGUCUUAAUUACUGGUUCAACAUUAUUGAGGAAAAUAUUUUCUUUAUACAUAUUUUUGUAUAUAUUUUGACAUGUUCUGUUUUAUUUUGUGAUUGUUUGAAUUUUGUGUAUAAUGUUGAAAUAAAGUUAGAGGAAAAAGAGUUGUGAUUGGUCAACUUGUUAUGACAUCAUUUCCGGAUUCACCCAGCCCACCUUGGCGAACGUUUUCUCUUACGGUUUUAAAGCAACGUGCACAUUAAAAGUGACCGUUGUUAUAAAAUGAUUAGUUCCAGCGCCAACAUUAAAGUGAGUGUCACCAACAACAUUAUAUCACACGCAGGAGAACGUGUGGGAGACAAUUGCAAGUAGGUCCAGCUUGCUCGUACCGAAACAAAGAUUGUGGAUGACGGACAAGAGGAUCACUCUGCUUAUGUAAUUCCACCGUCGAAUAAACUUGCUGAGAGCGAUGCACUGAGUGAGACCUCCUGUGGCAAGUUCGAAAGCCAGAGCCGAAGAAAGAAACACAA
Long non-coding RNA from Entelurus aequoreus (snake pipefish), 2028 nucleotides. RefSeq lists it as uncharacterized. The transcript has 3 exons. Lineage: Eukaryota; Metazoa; Chordata; Actinopteri; Syngnathiformes; Syngnathidae. The record is from RefSeq and is a predicted model, not a curated record.